AUUGAACGCUGGCGGCAGGCUUAACACAUGCAAGUCGAGCGGGGGAAGGUAGCUUGCUACCGGACCUAGCGGCGGACGGGUGAGUAAUGCUUAGGAAUCUGCCUAUUAGUGGGGGACAACAUCUCGAAAGGGAUGCUAAUACCGCAUACGUCCUACGGGAGAAAGCAGGGGAUCUUCGGACCUUGCGCUAAUAGAUGAGCCUAAGUCGGAUUAGCUAGUUGGUGGGGUAAAGGCCUACCAAGGCGACGAUCUGUAGGGGGUCUGAGAGGAUGAUCCGCCACACUGGGACUGAAACACGGCCCAGACUCCUACGGGAGGCAGCAGUGGGGAAUAUUGGACAAUGGGGGGAACCCUGAUCCAGCCAUGCCGCGUGUGUGAAGAAGGCCUUAUGGUCGUAAAGCACUUUAAGCGAGGAGGAGGCUACUUUAGUUAAUACCUAGAGAUAGUGGACGUUACUCGCAGAAUAAGCACCGGCUAACUCUGUGCCAGCAGCCGCGGUAA
This 501-nucleotide ribosomal RNA is filed under the name uncultured bacterium. RNAcentral's name for it is "partial 16S ribosomal RNA". It matches the Rfam family "Bacterial small subunit ribosomal RNA", at positions 30 to 523 of the family's 1533-position model. The record is from RNAcentral.